Molecule: long non-coding RNA, 1017 nt
Filed under: Sarcophilus harrisii (Tasmanian devil)
Lineage: Eukaryota; Metazoa; Chordata; Mammalia; Dasyuromorphia; Dasyuridae
Description: lncRNA (ENSSHAG00000017460.2)
Source: RNAcentral
GGGGGGAGGAUGACCUCUGGAGCAGCCCCCUGCUCUAUAUGUCACAAUGCCUUCCCUCUCCCCUGGCAGUGUAUGCCCCCAGAAUGGCAGGCCCGAUAGGGAGGAGGUGAGGAGUGGGGAGGUUGGGGAGGGAGAAGAGGAAAACAGGACUUCACAGUAAUGACUGUGUUCCAACAGAGCUGGCCAGAAUUUUGCUUGUUCCCUGUGUUUGGCAAGGAGCUAAUCUGGGGUCUCUCAAGCUGCCUGCCAUUCAGGAUCCCUGUCAAUACAGAUCGAAUGGGUCCAGCUGGGGGCCGGAGCCUGGAAGCUGGGGAGGGUCCUGAGCUUUUGGAGGGCCAUGGAGCACCUUUGAGGAGUUCACUCACAUUCUUGGAUGGGGCCCUGGGCCUUGGUAUACUCGGACUUGGUGCUCGUCUGGUCCUGGCCCUGGCUGGUCCAGCCAUGAUGCUUUUGCUGCUGUUUCUGAUGUUGAGUUUCCUGACCUUUGAUCUUUUGCAUGGACCCCAGGACUUGCCUCUGCCUCAAAGACCAACUUUUAGACCCCUUGGCCCAGGAGGGGGUGGUGAAGGCCCCCGCUUGCAAGAACCGCUGCUCCCUCCUGUCCUGAGCCAAAUCUUGGAUGGAUUCCUGCUCUUCACAGGCCUAGGCCUCAUCUUUGGGGCGCUGAUGCCCUUCAGUAUCUUUAGCCUUAUAGUCAGCCUACAGGCGCUGGCCUGAAACAAAGCCCUCUGUUCUGUGGAAACCAGAAGGCUUUAAGAGCCUCCUCACCGAAAUACACGAGGAUUGACUAAAUUCUGCCUCUGAAUUUCCUUUCCUGUUCCCCUCCGGGCCGUUCUGGGGUGAAAGGCCCCAAAUUAGUUCCAGGUCCCAGAGAUUGAGAACUAAAGGCUCUGGAGUCACAGUGGACUUUAGUCUACUCAGUAACCUAAACCUUGGACCUAAAGGUCUAACCCCAAUGAUGCUGCAAGGAACCCUCUACCAUACAACUAGAGCCUUAGAAUUUAUAAUAAAAAAAAG